GCCUGGGUGGCUCAGUCGGUUAAGCAUCUGACUUCAGCUCAGGUCAUGAUCUUACGGUUUGUGAGUUUGAGCCCCACAUCGGGCU
This 85-nucleotide transfer RNA is filed under the name Felis catus (domestic cat). It matches the Rfam family "tRNA". Rfam says of the family: Transfer RNA (tRNA) molecules are approximately 80 nucleotides in length. Their secondary structure includes four short double-helical elements and three loops (D, anti-codon, and T loops). Further hydrogen bonds mediate the characteristic L-shaped molecular structure. tRNAs have two regions of fundamental functional importance: the anti-codon, which is responsible for specific mRNA codon recognition, and the 3' end, to which the tRNAs corresponding amino acid is attached (by aminoacyl-tRNA synthetases). tRNAs cope with the degeneracy of the genetic code in two manners: having more than one tRNA (with a specific anti-codon) for a particular amino acid; and 'wobble' base-pairing, i.e. permitting non-standard base-pairing at the 3rd anti-codon position. Lineage: Eukaryota; Metazoa; Chordata; Mammalia; Carnivora; Felidae. The record is from Rfam by way of RNAcentral.